RNAcentral lists this ribosomal RNA (811 nucleotides) under Escherichia coli. Its description in RNAcentral is "partial 23S ribosomal RNA". It matches the Rfam family "Bacterial large subunit ribosomal RNA", at positions 2120 to 2925 of the family's 2925-position model. The record is from RNAcentral. Lineage: Bacteria; Pseudomonadati; Pseudomonadota; Gammaproteobacteria; Enterobacterales; Enterobacteriaceae.
AACAUUGAGCCUUGAUGUGUAGGAUAGGUGGGAGGCUUUGAAGUGUGGACGCCAGUCUGCAUGGAGCCGACCUUGAAAUACCACCCUUUAAUGUUUGAUGUUCUAACGUUGGCCCGUAAUCCGGGUUGCGGACAGUGUCUGGUGGGUAGUUUGACUGGGGCGGUCUCCUCCUAAAGAGUAACGGAGGAGCACGAAGGUUGGCUAAUCCUGGUCGGACAUCAGGAGGUUAGUGCAAUGGCAUAAGCCAGCUUGACUGCGAGCGUGACGGCGCGAGCAGGUGCGAAAGCAGGUCAUAGUGAUCCGGUGGUUCUGAAUGGAAGGGCCAUCGCUCAACGGAUAAAAGGUACUCCGGGGAUAACAGGCUGAUACCGCCCAAGAGUUCAUAUCGACGGCGGUGUUUGGCACCUCGAUGUCGGCUCAUCACAUCCUGGGGCUGAAGUAGGUCCCAAGGGUAUGGCUGUUCGCCAUUUAAAGUGGUACGCGAGCUGGGUUUAGAACGUCGUGAGACAGUUCGGUCCCUAUCUGCCGUGGGCGCUGGAGAACUGAGGGGGGCUGCUCCUAGUACGAGAGGACCGGAGUGGACGCAUCACUGGUGUUCGGGUUGUCAUGCCAAUGGCACUGCCCGGUAGCUAAAUGCGGAAGAGAUAAGUGCUGAAAGCAUCUAAGCACGAAACUUGCCCCGAGAUGAGUUCUCCCUGACUCCUUGAGGGUCCUGAAGGAACGUUGAAGACGACGACGUUGAUAGGCCGGGUGUGUAAGCGCAGCGAUGCGUUGAGCUAACCGGUACUAAUGAACCGUGAGGCUUAACCUU